Molecule: ribosomal RNA, 230 nt
Filed under: uncultured bacterium
Lineage: Bacteria
Description: partial 16S ribosomal RNA
Rfam family: Bacterial small subunit ribosomal RNA
Source: RNAcentral
GUGGUGUAGGCGGGCGUGUUAAGUCAGUGGUGAAAUACUCCGGGCUCAACCCGGAAACCUGCCAUUGAUACUAUCAGUCUUGAAUAUUGUUGAGGUGGGCGGGAAUAUGUCAUGUAGCGGUGAAAUGCAUAGAGAUGACAUAGAACACCGAUUGCGAAGGCAGCUCACUAAACAUGUAUUGACGCUGAGGCACGAAAGCGUGGGGAUCAAACAGGAUUAGAUACCCGUGU